UACGUAGGGUGCGAGCGUUGUCCGGAAUUAUUGGGCGUAAAGAGCUCGUAGGCGGUCUGUCGCGUCGGUCGUGAAAACUUGGGGCUUAACCCUGAGCUUGCGGUCGAUACGGGCAUGACUGGAGUUCGGCAGGGGAGACUGGAAUUCCUGGUGUAGCGGUGAAAUGCGCAGAUAUCAGGAGGAACACCGGUGGCGAAGGCGGGUCUCUGGGCCGGUACCGACGCUGAGGAGCGAAAGCGUGGGGAGCGAACAGG
This 254-nucleotide ribosomal RNA is filed under the name uncultured bacterium. RNAcentral's name for it is "partial 16S ribosomal RNA". It matches the Rfam family "Bacterial small subunit ribosomal RNA", at positions 524 to 776 of the family's 1533-position model. The record is from RNAcentral.